UGGGGAAUAUUGGACAAUGGGCGAAAGCCUGAUCCAGCCAUGCCGCGUGUGUGAAGAAGGUCUUCGGAUUGUAAAGCACUUUAAGUUGGGAGGAAGGGCAUUAGCCUAAUACGUUAGUGUUUUGACGUUACCGACAGAAUAAGCACCGGCUAACUCUGUGCCAGCAGCCGCGGUAAUACAGAGGGUGCAAGCGUUAAUCGGAAUUACUGGGCGUAAAGCGCGCGUAGGUGGUUUGUUAAGUUGGAUGUGAAAUCCCCGGGCUCAACCUGGGAACUGCAUUCAAAACUGACUGACUAGAGUAUGGUAGAGGGUGGUGGAAUUUCCUGUGUAGCGGUGAAAUGCGUAGAUAUAGGAAGGAACACCAGUGGCGAAGGCGACCACCUGGACUAAUACUGACACUGAGGUGCGAAAGCGUGGGGAGCAAACA
RNAcentral lists this ribosomal RNA (427 nucleotides) under uncultured bacterium. Its description in RNAcentral is "partial 16S ribosomal RNA". It matches the Rfam family "Bacterial small subunit ribosomal RNA", at positions 355 to 774 of the family's 1533-position model. The record is from RNAcentral.